UCAAUCCUGAUGUGUUCGUCUAUUAAAAGUGUUUGACCGAACAACAUUAAAAAAGGGAGCUCGAAUUAGUUUCUAUAUUGCGUGCAUGCCUUGUCCAUUGGACGUGAGGAAGCAUAAUAAAUAUAGAACAGAGCACCCACCUGCUAUGAGCGGGAUCAAAACUUACAAUUAGACGGCACAAUCGGGACCUGA
Molecule: non-coding RNA, 192 nt
Organism: Virgibacillus sp. SK37
Lineage: Bacteria; Bacillati; Bacillota; Bacilli; Caryophanales; Bacillaceae
Rfam family: 6S / SsrS RNA
About the family: E. coli 6S RNA was the first non coding RNA to be sequenced, but its function was unknown until recently.
Source: Rfam